CAAGGGAGGAAAAAUAACUUUUGAAGUGGUAACGAGAGUGGCCCAUUUCAGACAGUUGACAGGAAGGUGUGAACAACAGUAAGGGGAAAUUAGUACUGGGGAAAGUAGGUUUAGGUUUUAUAAUGACCCAACCACUCCCAGUCUUUAUUCAGGUCUAAUCUGAUGGUGUUUGCCUUAAUGGAUC
Non-coding RNA from Chelonoidis abingdonii (Abingdon island giant tortoise), 184 nucleotides. NCBI's taxonomy places the organism in Eukaryota, Metazoa, Chordata, Testudines, Testudinidae. The record is from RefSeq and is a predicted model, not a curated record.